RNAcentral lists this ribosomal RNA (910 nucleotides) under uncultured bacterium. RNAcentral describes it as "bacterial SSU rRNA". It matches the Rfam family "Bacterial small subunit ribosomal RNA", at positions 33 to 932 of the family's 1533-position model. The record is from RNAcentral.
ACGCUGGCUACAGGCUUAACACAUGCAAGUCGAGGGGAAACGGCGUUGAGUGCUCGCACUCUUCGGACGUCGACCGGCGCACGGGUGAGUAACGCGUAUCCAACCUUCCCGUCACUGCGGGAUAACCUGCCGAAAGGCAGACUAAUACCGCAUGGCCUUCACUGACGGCAUCCGAGGUGAAGUAAAGCUUUUCUGCGGUGACGGACGGGGAUGCGUCUGAUUAGCUGGUUGGCGGGGCGACGGCCCACCAAGGCGACGAUCAGUAGGGGUUCUGAGAGGAAGGUCCCCCACAUUGGAACUGAGACACGGUCCAAACUCCUACGGGAGGCAGCAGUGAGGAAUAUUGGUCAAUGGGCGGAAGCCUGAACCAGCCAAGUAGCGUGCAGGAGGACGGCCCUACGGGUAGUAAACUGCUUUUAUGCGGGGAUAAAGUGAGGGACGCGUCCCUUUUUGCAGGUACCGCAUGAAUAAGGACCGGCUAAUUCCGUGCCAGCAGCCGCGGUAAUACGGAAGGUCCGGGCGUUAUCCGGAUUUAUUGGGUUUAAAGGGAGCGUAGGCCGGGGAUUAAGUGUGUUGUGAAAUGUAGGCGCUCAACGUCUGAUGUGCAGCGCAUACUGGUCCCCUUGAGUACGCGCAACGCCGGCGGAAUUCGUCGUGUAGCGGUGAAAUGCUUAGAUAUGACGAAGAACCCCGAUUGCGAAGGCAGCCGGCGGGAGCGCAACUGACGCUGAAGCUCGAAGGUGCGGGUAUCGAACAGGAUUAGAUACCCUGGUAGUCCGCACGGUAAACGAUGGAUGCCCGCUCUCGGCGCCUGGCGCCGGGGGCCAAGCGAAAGCGUUAAGCAUCCCACCUGGGGAGUACGCCGGCAACGGUGAAACUCAAAGGAAUUGACGGGGGCCCGCACAAGCGG